Molecule: small nucleolar RNA, 149 nt
Organism: Entelurus aequoreus (snake pipefish)
Lineage: Eukaryota; Metazoa; Chordata; Actinopteri; Syngnathiformes; Syngnathidae
Source: RefSeq, a predicted model, not a curated record
CCUCAGUGAAGAUACGAUGACGAGUCGGACCAGGACUCUGUUUGCCUCUGAGGAGGCUGCUUCAGGACCACGUUCUGUGGUUCUGUUUCAGUUCCUCAGAGCAGCGAGCUCGUUCCAGAUGAAGAUUCUGAGGCAUUUGUCUGAGAGGG